This 2621-nucleotide long non-coding RNA is filed under the name Bemisia tabaci. RNAcentral describes it as "lncRNA ENSSSA1NGG012839". The record is from RNAcentral. Lineage: Eukaryota; Metazoa; Arthropoda; Insecta; Hemiptera; Aleyrodidae.
AUUCGGGUUACAACUUGGAAUACUUUAAUGCGCUGAAUCAGCAUUUUUUCAAAAUUAUUUAAAUUUUUUAUAACAGCUGGAACUUGAGGAGAGUGCAUUUUGUUCAUUGCAGCUGUGGGAGGUACUAAAUUAUUCCUGAUUUUUCCCAAACAAAAAGCACAUAUAAAUUCAAUCGGUAUUUCAUUAUCUUUUGCAAAUUGCAUAACUUUGUUCCAUAUUUCAUUUGUAGGGGGUUUACGCAAGUUUUCAAUCACAGAUAAAGUUGAAAUGGGACACAAUUUUUCACAACAGCAACAGCUAUUAUUCGGCAGAUCAAGCAUACUUUUGUUGUAGGCUUCAAAAUUCAGUUUAUAGUAUUGUAGUGGUAUCGGGUAAAGACCUCGCGUCUUUACCGAUCCACUUGGAGGAAGCUGGUUUGGGGACAUGGCAAGUCGUGAGAUAUCGCGGAUUUCCAUGCCAGUGACAGGGUCAGGCGUGUUAGAUGCGAGUUUUUGAGACGCGAUUGUUUAUGUCCACGCGCGGAGCUUGCGGCGAGAGUGACCCCGGCUUCCGGCGAUUCGGAAGUCGGAGUUGGGCACGAAAGCUUCGGGCAUUGGCAUAAAAGCUCGCGGAAGCCGCUCGUACGGGGUUAGUCGGCGUGAGGUGUAAAGACCCGAGACAACCCGGUCCACCCCCCGUUAGAGUAGCCAGUAAUUAGUGCCAAUAAAGUGUAAGUUACAAAAUAUAAAGUGUGGUUCCACUUUCCCCCGUAGGGUUCCCACUACAUGUUAGAGGCGCCGUGUCUUCUUUGAAAAAAGAUACAGUAGCGAUCCCGGUACCCCUUUUAAAAAGAAAAAAAGAAAAUUUGUAAAAAGUUGCGUUGUGUAUAAAGUGUAAUUGUAUUUAUAUAACGUGUUUUGUCGUAAUUUAAAAUCGUAUUUACCAUCGUAAUUUAUCGUAAUUUAUCGUGAAAGUGCAUCGAGACAGCCGCAUCAUGCAGAAAGUGUUUCAGAUACCUCCACGGAAAUUGGCACAAACGAAGGGAGUGUCGAGCCCGUUACGGAGCACGGAGACCCUGACACGUUCGGGAUUUGCAAAUCUGAGGAGAAACCAGCAGCAUGUGAAACUCAAGAAGGAUAUGUUCAUAGUAUUCAAAUUUUUCCUAGGAAAUUUGUAAGUUCUGUUGUAAAAAAUGGUCAUUUUGAUCAGCAGGAAACUGGAAUAGAGGCAUCAAAACGUUUGCAUCAAAAUUCUUCUUGGAGGAGAUCGCCUCCCAAUGAUUGGAGAUUUAGGAGAAAAUUCGAUCCUGGGGGAUUGUAUCAAUCAAAGAUUUUGAGUAUCAAAACGUGUAACAUUCUUAUCCUGAUGACGAUGAUUUUUUUUCUCACAGGCCACGAUUAAAUAUUCUAUGAUUUUCAGAUUUUUUUUGUUCGUUUAAUUUUAAUCUUCUUAACAGACUUUUCUGAAGGACGGGGUAGUGUCGCGCGUCCCAUAUCAGGCGUGUGGAAAAUAAUAGUAAAAGUGAAAAUUUUAAAGCCCCCCCCCUCCCCAAAGAGAGGAGUAAUAGAGUGCGUUUGGGAAAAUGGGUUUUUCUUCAGUUUUUACCAUCUAAAAAACUGGACAGUUUUUUCCGUCUGUUUUGUCUGUUACAAAACUUUCGGUGGUGGAUGGCGUCGAGUGAAUCGAUCCCCCUCACCCUCUUAUGGGGUGGUUAGAUGUAGCAGAUAUUUUAGAGUAUAACAGGAUUAAUUUCACCAGUUAAAAAAAAAAAAAAAAAAAAAAAAAAAGUUUUUAUUUAGCUCUCGAUUUUAGUUACUUUCAGUCGACAUUCACUGGGUUCAAAGUGGUCGUUUGAUUACAUAAUUUUCAUAAUUUAAAGAUUUUUUAUUUUGUUUGUUAAAUAGUUUUUUUGCCUAUUCCACGGUUUGUUUAUAUUCUUUUUGUUGUAAUUUUUUUUCUUUGCCGGCUUCGGAGAGGAAAGCGAUCGAGAGUUCAAUGUUGUUGUGGGUUAGUUUACAGCAGUUUAAUAUUCAUGAAAUAUAUAGCUUUUUCUUUGUACAUUUAAUUUUGUUAGGUACUUACUUUUUUGAUUUUUUUCAAUUUUAUGUAGUAAUUUUUGGAUUUAUCUAAAUUGUUGGCAGCACUGAGUCGGAUGGUGUUUUUGCGUUGAUUGGUUUUUUUCCCUUAAAGGAUUAAACUUAACUUGGAAAAAUUUAAAUAUAAUAAUAGUAAACGAAAUAAGAGAAAAGAAUGGGAAAGAAGAUAGAAAAUGUAUUUUUUUUUCAUCAAUUCAUUUAUUGUUUUUUCUAUUUAAUAUUGUUUUUUUAAUUUUGUUUCAUGUGCCCGGGCGGUUUUUGUUCCAACGGCUUGAUCAUCCCUUGGACGCGGCGUUGAUGUAGCAGCAUUCGGGGGAGUCUCAAAGGAGGAAGUACUUGAUCUAAAACCGUCGGCACCCAGGCCAACAUGUUUUCAGGGCGUUUCAUGAUGUCGUUCUCAGGACUCUGCAAGUACGAGCACUGACGGCUUGCCCCGACCACCUGGCACUGUGCACUUUGACAUAAAUUGUAACGUGCGGGCAGCUCAUCACAGCGCGCAACAUCAUGCAAUAUCGCGUAUCUCGAAGCAGUCCGGCACCAUCUCCC